Molecule: non-coding RNA, 508 nt
Organism: Callithrix jacchus (white-tufted-ear marmoset)
Lineage: Eukaryota; Metazoa; Chordata; Mammalia; Primates; Cebidae
Source: RefSeq, a predicted model, not a curated record
ACACCGACUCACCUCCGCGCACUCUGACCCCGACCGACGCGGCGGACGGGCGGGCGCUGUGGCCAACCGCUGAGCUCGCUGCCGGACCCUUUAACCAAUAAGCUGCAACGGGGCGGGGCUUCUUCUCCCCAAAUGCUCGCUCUCCCGCCGACAUGCGCGCUAAGGAGGCUGAGGCAGGAGAAUCGAUUGAACCCCGGAGGCAGAGGUUGCAAUGAGCCAAGAUCACACCACUGCACUCCAGCCUGGCAACAAAGUGAGACUGUCUCAAAAAAAUAAAAGAUGUCAUUUCUGGGCCUACCACAUCUGAGAUCGGACCUUAAGAUCCUCAAGGAACAGGACUGUGUCUUAUCUUCAUAUUCCAUGUGCAUGUAGUUGAUGAAUAACUGAAGACAGCUUCUUUGAGCCUGUUUCCUCAACUAUAAAAUGGAGGGAGUAGCUAUAUCACCAAUAUAGUGAAGAAAGUGCUACCAGCAUAAGGUAGGUAUUUGGUGAGUAAAGUUUCCUUCAU